ACACCUUCCACUAUCCCAGGUUGCUCCAAGCCCCACCCAGCCCAGCCUGAAACACUUCCAGGGAUGGAACAGCCACAGCUUCUCUGGGCACCCUGUGCCAGGGCCUCAGCACCCUCACAGGGAAGGAUUUCUUCCUAAUAUCCCAUCUAAACCUACUCUCUUCCAGCUUAAGGCCAUUGGGAUUUUUCUGGGAGGGAAAGACAGGACAGGCCUUUCAUUCAGGUAGGUGCAAAGAGAUUGGAAGAAUCUUGCAAGAAAUCUCACAUGCAGUGGAAUGACCAGGCUGGAUGGAGCCCUGGGCAGCCUGUCUAGUGGAAGAUGUCCCUGCCCAUGACAGGGGGUUGGAGAUGAUCUUCGAGGUCCUUUCCACACAAACCAGUUAUGAUCCUAUGUGUGCCACAAGGUCAGGGCUAGGAGGGGAGCAUUAACCCCUUCAUCCCUGGUUUGUCCGUGCCUGGACUUGCUGCAUCAAACCAGCUCAAAGGACAGAGCUGCAAGCCUAAAUCAUCUCACUUCUCACUUUCCUGUGAUUGUCAUUGUCACUGCUGAUUUGUUUUACAGCAGAGCCCAGGGCCAGCAGUCGUGGAUCAGCCCUGGCUGCCACAGACAAAGGGAUGGGUCCUACCCCGUGUGGGUGCAAGAGGCAAAUUCCAGGAGCUUCAGCCGAACAAAGGAGCAGCAUCACGGGUGCCACCAGCCCCGUGUUUUCUGUUCCUGCACCUGAUCCCAAACGCAGCCAUCAGCAAUGCCUGGGGCCACACGGUGUGAGGCAUCCAGAGAUGGGAAACCCUGCUGCCAGAGGGACCCCUUUGAUCUGCAAGCAGACUGAAUGACUGAAGCAGGAAUUUGCUUUAGCAGCCACCCAAGCUGAGUUUCUUGUACCUGCAGUAGCUGUGUGACCCUAAACUGAUGCUGUAAGUGAUGGUGGUGAUUCUCUGCUCACCAGAGAUGUGCAAUGCUGCUGAGUUUACCAUGGUCAAAGCUCUCUUUUGGCAAUUCUUUGUACUUUCUGCCACUGCAUGAAUCAAACAAACUCAUGUGGGUGAAAUAUGAAAUAAAGAAACGUUUUUAACUGGGAGAGUGACACUGUGCUCUUCCAUUUGUAAAGGAAAGGAGAGUGGGAUUUCUAGGGAUCUCUGGGGCUUGGAAAUGUGUGUGCAGGCAAAUGUUCAUCUAAGUUUAGUCUCUCAUCCCCAACAGGUGGGAGGAAUCACAGAAUCAGGGAAUGGUUUGGGUUGGAAGGAACCUUAUAGAGGCACUGGCACAGAUUGCCAGAGAAGCUGUGGCUGCCCCAUCCCUGGGGCAGUGGAAAGUGUCCCUGUCCACAAGUUAG
RNAcentral lists this long non-coding RNA (1333 nucleotides) under Ficedula albicollis (Collared flycatcher). RNAcentral's name for it is "lncRNA (ENSFALG00000027901.1)". The record is from RNAcentral. Lineage: Eukaryota; Metazoa; Chordata; Aves; Passeriformes; Muscicapidae.